Molecule: ribosomal RNA, 295 nt
Filed under: uncultured bacterium
Lineage: Bacteria
Description: partial 16S ribosomal RNA
Rfam family: Bacterial small subunit ribosomal RNA
Source: RNAcentral
AUUUCCUACGGGGGGCAGCAGUGGGGGAUAUUGCACAAUGGGGGAAACCCUGAUGCAGCGACGCCGCGUGGGCGAAGAAGUAUUUCGGUAUGUAAAGCCCUAUCAGCAGGGAAGAAGAAAUGACGGUACCUGAGUAAGAAGCGCCGGCUAAAUACGUGCCAGCAGCCGCGGUAAUACGUAUGGUGCAAGCGUUAUCCGGAUUUACUGGGUGUAAAGGGAGCGUAGGUGGCAUGGUAAGCCAGAAGUGAAAACCCGGGGCUCAACCCCGCGGAUUGCUUUUGGAACUAUCAGGCUG